Molecule: ribosomal RNA, 459 nt
Filed under: uncultured Treponema sp.
Lineage: Bacteria; Pseudomonadati; Spirochaetota; Spirochaetia; Treponematales; Treponemataceae
Description: partial 16S ribosomal RNA
Rfam family: Bacterial small subunit ribosomal RNA
Source: RNAcentral
ACGGGAGGCAGCAGCUAAGAAUAUUCCGCAAUGGACGAAAGUCUGACGGAGCGACGCCGCGUGGAUGAUGAAGGUCGGAAGAUUGUAAAAUCCUUUUAUAACUGAGGAAUAAGUACUGUUCGUGAGGGCAGUAUGGUGACUGUAGGUUAUGAAUAAGCAACGGCUAAUUACGUGCCAGCAGCCGCGGUAACACGUAAGUUGCGAGCGUUGUUCGGAAUUAUUGGGCGUAAAGGGCAUGUAGGCGGUUUUGCGAGCUUAGUGUGAAAUCUCGGAGCUCAACUCCGAAAUUGCGUUGAGAACUGCAUAACUAGAGUCACUGAGGGGCAAUCAGAAUUCCAGGUGUAGGGGUGAAAUCUGUAGAUAUCUGGAAGGAUACCAAUGGCGAAGGCAGGUUACCAGCAGAUGACUGACGCUGAGGUGCGAAGGUGCGGGGAGCAAACAGGAUUAGAUACCCUGGUA